Molecule: ribosomal RNA, 403 nt
Filed under: uncultured bacterium
Lineage: Bacteria
Description: bacterial SSU rRNA
Rfam family: Bacterial small subunit ribosomal RNA
Source: RNAcentral
GGACCCGCACAAGUAGUGGAGCAUGUGGUUUAAUUCGAAGAUACGCGCAGAACCUUACCAACACUUGACAUGUUCGUCGCGACUUUAAGAGAUUAAAGUUUUCGGUUCGGCCGGACGAAACACAGGUGCUGCAUGGCUGUCGUCAGCUCGUGUCGUGAGAUGUUGGGUUAAGUCCCGCAACGAGCGCAACCCUCACUUUUAGUUGCCAUCAGUUCGGCUGGGCACUCUAUGGAAACUGCCUGUGAUAAGCAGGAGGAAGGUGUGGAUGACGUCAAGUCCUCAUGGCCCUUACGGGUUGGGCUACACACGUGCUACAAUGGUAGUGACAAUGGGUUAAUCCCAAAAAGCUAUCUCAGUUCGGAUUGGGGUCUGCAACUCGACCCCAUGAAGUCGGAAUCGCUAG